This 253-nucleotide ribosomal RNA is filed under the name uncultured bacterium. RNAcentral's name for it is "partial 16S ribosomal RNA". It matches the Rfam family "Bacterial small subunit ribosomal RNA", at positions 524 to 776 of the family's 1533-position model. The record is from RNAcentral.
UACGUAGGGCGCAAGCGUUGUCCGGAAUUAUUGGGCGUAAAGAGCUCGUAGGCGGUUUGUCGCGUCUGCUGUGAAAACCUGAGGCUCAACCUUGGGCUUGCAGUGGGUACGGGCAGACUAGAGUGCGGUAGGGGUGACUGGAAUUCCUGGUGUAGCGGUGGAAUGCGCAGAUAUCAGGAGGAACACCGAUGGCGAAGGCAGGUCACUGGGCCGCAACUGACGCUGAGGAGCGAAAGCAUGGGGAGCGAACAGG